AACGAACGCUGGCGGCAGGCUUAACACAUGCAAGUCGAACGGACGUAGCAAUACGUCAGUGGCAGACGGGUGAGUAGCACGUGGGAAUAUCCCUCUCAGUUCGGAAUAACUCAGGGAAACUUGAGCUAAUACCGGAUACGUCCUUCGGGAGAAAGAUUUAUCGCUGAGAGAUUAGCCCGCGUCUGAUUAGCUAGUUGGUGAGGUAAUGGCUCACCAAGGCGACGAUCAGUAACUGGUCUGAGAGGAUGAUCAGCCACACUGGGACUGAGACACGGCCCAGACUCCUACGGGAGGCAGCAGUGGGGAAUAUUGGACAAUGGGGGCAACCCUGAUCCAGCCAUGCCGCGUGAGUGAUGAAGGCCUUAGGGUUGUAAAGCUCUUUUGCCAGGGAAGAUAAUGACUGUACCUGGAGAAUAAGCCCCGGCUAACUUCGUGCCAGCCGCCGCGGUAA
RNAcentral lists this ribosomal RNA (451 nucleotides) under uncultured bacterium. RNAcentral's name for it is "partial 16S ribosomal RNA". It matches the Rfam family "Bacterial small subunit ribosomal RNA", at positions 29 to 523 of the family's 1533-position model. The record is from RNAcentral.